Molecule: transfer RNA, 779 nt
Filed under: Bradyrhizobium japonicum
Lineage: Bacteria; Pseudomonadati; Pseudomonadota; Alphaproteobacteria; Hyphomicrobiales; Nitrobacteraceae
Also listed under: 2 other names
Description: 16S-23S ribosomal RNA intergenic spacer
Rfam family: tRNA (bases 189-262)
Source: RNAcentral
CUAAGGAUGGUUCUUCAGAAGCUUGCUUCUAUCGAACCGUUUUAGAAACAUCAGUGGCCAACGGUCGUCAGGAUCGUUGAGCUGCAUUGGCGGGAUUUCGCCGUCUUCGUUUCUCUUUCUUCGCGGACGAACACGCGCUGGGGCUGCAACCUUGCAGAAUCCCUGGUCCUUGACUGGAUAUGCGUUAGGGGCUUGUAGCUCAGUUGGUUAGAGCGCGCGCUUGAUAAGCGUGAGGUCGGAAGUUCAAGUCUUCCCAGGCCCACCACACUCAUCGAGUGAGCAUUCGUCUUCUGGUUACGGGGCCAUAGCUCAGCUGGGAGAGCGCGUGCUUUGCAAGCAUGAGGUCGUCGGUUCGAUCCCGUCUGGCUCCACCAGAUGGUUUGAUCACCGACUACUCAUACCGUCGUCCGCGAAACAUCACUUCGCACUUACUAGUCCGGAUGGACAGUAAGCUGCGUGAUUUCUGACAUCGUAAAGAGGAGAUCGAUCCGAGUUGGAUCGGGCAACAAGUAAUUGUUGCGCGAUACUUCAUUAUCUCCGGAUCAUUUCGGCGCUCGUGCGUCUUUUGGCGUAGCUCACAAGGCUGCAUUGAAAGACAAGCGAGUUGUAAAUGAUCCUUUUAGCGAAGCUUGACCGCCUCGCUAUCGGAACGAUCUUACGAAGCAAGCUGGUCUUUCUAAUCAUUGUCCGGCUGCAGAUAGCGUUCAUCGAGGGCGCGUGCCGCAAGGCAGUUCUGCAGACAACAUUCUGCCGAGUGUGUGGACAUUGAUAAUGAGAGC